This 515-nucleotide ribosomal RNA is filed under the name uncultured bacterium. Its description in RNAcentral is "partial 16S ribosomal RNA". It matches the Rfam family "Bacterial small subunit ribosomal RNA", at positions 355 to 863 of the family's 1533-position model. The record is from RNAcentral.
UGGGGAAUUUUGGACAAUGGGGGAACCCUGAUCCAGCCAUCCCGCGUGUGCGAUGAAGGCCUUCGGGUUGUAAAGCACUUUUGGCAGGAAAGAAACGUCGCGGGUUAAUACCCCGCGAAACUGACGGUACCUGCAGAAUAAGCACCGGCUAACUACGUGCCAGCAGCCGCGGUAAUACGUAGGGUGCAAGCGUUAAUCGGAAUUACUGGGCGUAAAGCGUGCGCAGGCGGUUCGGAAAGAAAGAUGUGGAAUCCCAGAGCUUAACUUUGGAACUGCAUUUUUAACUACCGGGCUAGAGUGUGUCAGAGGGAGGUGGAAUUCCGCGUGUAGCAGUGAAAUGCGUAGAUAUGCGGAGGAACACCGAUGGCGAAGGCAGCCUCCUGGGAUAACACUGACGCUCAUGCACGAAAGCGUGGGGGAGCAAACAGGAUUAGAUACCCUGGUAGUCCACGCCCUAAACGAUGUCAACUAGCUGUUGGGGCCUUCGGGCCUUGGUAGCGCAGCUAACGCGUGAA